CUAAAUCUGUUUGUUCGAAAAGUUUUCUCUCUCUACAAAUUGCUCUCUGCCCUCUUUCUAUCUGCAAGCAAAAGGAAGCCAAAGGCCAGCUGUGGCCCCGAUGCCCCCGCCCCCUGAACCACCUGAUCCCUUACCCCUUUUUAACCAAUGAGAAAUCGACAAGAAUCCUUCCCUCCACUGUUCCAAUGGCUACUUCCUCUUCUACCGCCCCAACGUCGCCCACGGAGACCAUAAUUCCGGCCAAAAAUCAACCUGUCUCUGUAUCUCAGCAACCUAAUCCCAACUACAACUCAGCUCUAAUCCUUCUUCUAAUAUGAACCAAGACCAAAGUUUCUCACCCUAAUCAAAAAAUACCCCUAAAAUUUCCUCCAAUUUUGAUCCCCCUCAAAGACACAUUAAUGCUCAACAAAUUGAUCAGCCCCUCACAAGUUCUAAUCCUGCCAAUAACAGUGACAAUAAUCUAAAAAAUCAAACCUGGCCUCCCCUCUCUGUUUCAAAGCCUUCUUUUGCUUCUACUGUUAGUGCAUCACUAGCUGAUAGUGUUGUUGGAAAGCAACCAGUUGAUAUUACAAUGGAACUCAUAUGGGUAAGCCCGCAGUUUAUUCACAACUUAAGAUCACUUUGUCAACCUUGCGGAAGACUGUAAGCGCACCAUUGAUGGAAAAUUUACAAGAGGAAAACCAAGCAUGGAAGAAGUUCGAAAACUCUUUGUUAGUCAUGUUCCAUUGAAAGGUAGCAUCAAAAUUGCUUACUUUGAUCUUAGCCACGUUUACAUCGACUUUAUAAAUGAUCUAUAUUUUUUACCAUGUAUAUUUUAUGCCUUCCAUUACUCUUAGUCCUUAUAGUUUGAAGAUCAUUAGAUGGACCCUCAAUUUUGUACCCGAGAAUGAGACCACUAUAGCUCUUGUUUGGAUGUUAAUCCAUCAACUUCCUUGGGAACUUAUUUAGAUGGGAUAUUCUUUCCUGAACGGUUAGCUAUAUAGGGACUGCUAUGGCUCCAGAUAUUGCUACCUACUCCAAAUCAAGGGGUAAUGUGGUGAAACUUAAAGUCAAAAUCGAUUUGCUAAACCCAAGCAAGAUCAACUUUGGGUGGCUUUAAGAGAUUGGAUUCUGCCGUCGAAGAUGGUUAUUGUUUAGAUAUUGAAUAUGAACGAGCUCCUUCAUAUUGUCUUUAUUGUGCGAUGCAAGGUCAUGAUCAAAGUUCUUGUAGAAACAAAAAGAGAGAUGAAACUUUCAAGUCUAAAAGAGAUCCCUAGCAAGGAGGUUGACAAUGAACAAUGGGAACUUCCUAAAAAAGCUAAAAGGAAUGCUCACAAUACAAUGAUGAAGGGCUAAUGCAAACUGGUCAAAAUCCUCAAAACAACAACAAUGGAGCUCGGCAGGAUUCACUACACGACAUCAAUACUCAUCAACUUAAUACCAAGUUUUUCCAUAACCAAAAUGAUUCUGACUUGUAUGUUUAAAAGGUCUGCUUCUCACAAGAACAAUGACACUGGAAAAGACAAAAAAAGAAAGAAAGUUCAAUACCUAUACAAAACACUUCCCAGAUGAUACUCAACCAAAGCAACCAAGAAAAUACAAAGCAAAAUUCUUCAGCUUCUUUACACAGAACUCAACCUAGUACUACCCAACCUCCUAUUUUUAAUCAAAUUCGAGGUACAUCAAACCAAAUUUCUGAUACUAGCAACACCCAAGAAGCUUCCGAUCCCAAAAACAUUAUACAAAGCCAUAUUCAAAUGCCUAGCCAAUCUGACCGUGUGAACAACACCUUUCAAGCCAGUAAAAUGGAUUACAAUUUUGAAGGAUAACUGUCAAAAAAUACCGCAACACAAACCCCCGAAUCCCCCACAAGACCAUAGUUCCAACAAAUAUGAAGCAAGAAAUCCCACAAGGUUGAACAUACAUAAGAAAUGAUGUUUCUGACUAUAAAAGUUAUAAUGACGUGGCUUUUGAUUUUAUGACAUCCAACCAAGAAUCAGACAACGAUGAUGAUGAAAAUCUUAUUGUUAGUGAUACUGAAGAUGAGUAUGAAAGUAUGGAGGACAAAGCUAACUCUAGUGAAGACAGUCUAGAUAAUAUCUCUACAAAUAAUGAUGAUACUACUAUCCAACAUGUUGAAACAUUUGUUUCUCAAUAUAUCCCUUAAAUUGAAAUUGACCAAGCUUUUGACGAUAUAUCUGACAAGCAUACCCUAUAUCCCAGAGGAUUAGAAUCUACAAGAGGAGGUUAGCCAUAUAGAGGAGGUAGGACAGGUCGACGAGGCAAAGGUAUUCCUUCUGUUAAAUACUCACAGAACAAUGAUUAUCUAUGUGCAACUUUUUAAUGAUUAAGUCCACUUAUUUGGAAUCUUAGAGGCAUCAAUUCUCAAGGUACCUUUGACAGACUUAUUCAACUUAAAAUAACUCAUAAUCUCAGCUUCAUUGCAGUUACAAAACCUUUCUUUAAUAGCUCUAAACUGCAUAGGUAUAAAAGAAGAUUGGGUUUUGACUUCGCUUAUGCCAAUCUCAAUAAUAAAAUUUUGAUCUUUGGAGAAGAUGCUCUGGAGUGCAAUGUUAUUGCUGACAAUGACUAAAUUGUCACGUGUUGGUUCAUCCUUAUACAUCUCUAUUGUGUAUGCCAAAUGUAAGAUGCAUUAUAGGCAAGAUCUUUGGGAUGAUAUUAAGACCUUUGCUACUGUGAACUCUUCUCCUUGGAUGGUGAUAGGAUAUUUUAAUUCCAUUAUUACUCUAGAAGAAAAGAAGGGUGGUAAUUCUCAUAACAUCUCUAAAUUCCUUUUAUCAAUUGUAUAUUGGAUAGUAGUCUUCUUGACAUAGGUUUCAGUGGCUCUCACUACACUUGGUGUAACGGUCGGGCUCCUAAAAGAAGGAUCUGGGCUAGAUUGGAUAGAGCGCUUGUCAAUUCUGAGUGGAUCCAAAUAUUCUCAGAAUCAUCUGUUGAGCAUUUAGUUAGAACCGGAUCUGACCAUGCUCCUAUGUUAAUAUCCAUUUCCAACUCUCUAAGGGAACCGAAGAAAUAUUUUCGAUUCCUUGAUUUCUGGACAGAAGAUGAAGGUUUUAUGCAAAUAGUUGAAGAUGCUUAUAUCAUUCAUGUUGAAGGGAGCCCUAUAUGGAAAUUUCAUCUCAAGCUUAAGAAUGUUUGUAAAAGUCUCUCACACUGGUCUAGAAACACAAUUGGUACCAAAGAGCUUCAAUCUAAGCUUGAAAUACUGGAGCAAAAUUGUUUGACUAAUAAUUCUGAGGCUAACCAAAUGAAGUAUGAUUGCAUUAAUGCUUUUCUCAUUAGGCACAUUAAGAAGGAAGAAUCUUUUUGGAGACAAAAGGCCGGUCUCAAAUGGUUUAAAGAUGGGGAUGAUAACACUAUGUUUUUUCAUUCUGUUAUUAAAUCUAAAAGGAAAAAGUUACAUCUUUCUAGAAUUUAAAAGAAAUAUGGCACAUGGCUUAAUAACACUGAUGAUAUUGCCCGUUUUGUUCUUUGAGCAAUAGUUCUCCCAAGAAACCACUUGUAGAGAUUAUUCUAUUCUUAGAAAGUUGUGGAGAGUGGUAGAUGAAGAUGGCAACAGAAUGUUAAUAGAACUCCGGAACAUGGAAGAGCUCAAAGAAGUUGUUUUCUCCAUGAGCAGUGUUAGUCCUUCUGGUCCAGAUGGCAUUUCAGGGACCUUUCAAAUGUUUUUGUUGUCACAAUGGAAUGAAUGAGGACAUCAACCACCUCUUUAGCUAUGGUCAAAUAGCGGAGUAAGUUUGGAAAUUUUUUGAAGAUACUUUGGGACUGCUCUGGCCUAAUUCUGAUAGCAUUCGUACUAAGCUUAUGAGAUGGUGGCGUAUUAAAUAUACCAACAAAGUGCUUAAAUUGACCACUCAAUGCCUUCCUUCUGUGAUUUGCUGUGAAUUAUGGAAACGUAGAUGCACUUAUAAAUAUGAAGGCAACAAAAUUUUGUCUGGCAACAUUAUUCUUCAAGCUACAUACCACAUUCAUUUGAUCCUCACUUCCCAGUUCCCUUCACUAAAGUUUCCCACAAAAUUCCGAAGCAUUUGUCGGAUGAUGGAGAAUAUCAAGCCUAAGGUUUAUAUCAACCCCGUCCUAUGGAGUAAGCCUAAUUACGGAGAACACAAGCUUAAUAUUGACGGUUGCUCUAAGGGCAAUCCCGGAAUUGCCGGUGGUGGAGGUAUUUUGACGAAUCAUAUGGGUCAUAUGAUCAUGGCUUUCACAACAUAUUUUGGUCACUCUUCUAACAACUUGAACAAGGCACGUGCUAUCAAUAUUGGAUUGAAAUGGUGUAUUGAUCACGGUUUCAAUAUUCAUACUAUAGAAUUUGAUUCCUUGACUGUGAUUAGCAUGAUCAACAAAGCUGCAACUACAAUAUGGAGCAUUAAGGAGGAAACUAAUGACAUCCAUAAUAUGAUUUCAAAGGAAAAGUUUCAGUUCAUUCAUAUAUUUAGGCCUAGGGAAAGAAAUAUCACUGUUGAUCUCUAGGCCAACUUUGCGGAGCUUGAUUGGAAAAAUGACUUCUUCACUGAAACUAUACACUUACCAAGGAAGAUUGUAGUCACUAAGAAAAAUGAUGAAGAAGCUCGUCCAAACUUUAGAAUCAGAUUAAGGAAAAACACUUUUAUCUUCGACCCUGGUUGAGCUCUUCUUGAAUGGUACUAGGUAUUCUAUCCUAUACUUUUUUGGAAGCCUAAUUGUACUAGGAACAAUCUUCCUCUUUUGCUUUACUUUUGGAAGCUAAAAUUGUAAGCAUAACUUACCAUUCUAGCUACUCUUGUAUGAGGUAAGGUUGGUCCUCCUCCGUAACCUUUUGCUUUGAAAUGGAAUCUUCUUUGCUGUUUUUAAAAAAAAAAGCUUAAAUCAUUAUCAACCAUUCAAAUUGUAUUAUUGUAUGAAAUUAUUCAUGUGGAAGUUGUUGCUCCAUACAUUAUAUGACACAUUUUUAUGUUAAGACUAUUUGAUUAAAAUAAAAGUUCUAUUUAAAUGCCUUCUUCUACUAAUUUUUGGCACGUCAUUUGUGUCACAUUAAUGAUCGUUAUGAUGGAAUCAUGAGUAGUGUUGGAUUAACCCCAGCAACUAAAAAGAAUUUGAAAAAUGUGAGGCUUGUAGUAAAGUUAAAAAUCACAAAAACUCUCAUUUUCAAGUUAAGAAAAAGAACUAAUUUAUUAGAAUUAAUUCAUACUGAUAUUUAUGAACUUGGUGAAAUUUCAACUCGUUUCCCUGGUUUUUGGGUCCCAAUCAAAACGUGUAAAGUUUGAGAGUAAGUUGGUGAAAUUUCAACUCGUUUCCCUGGUUUUUGGGUCCCAAUCGAAACGUGUAAAGUUUGAGAGUAAAUUGUAAUGCUAUUUGAAUAAUAUUUACUCCUGACAUGACAAAAAUUAAAUUCAAUAAAGAACAAGUAGUGCCAACUCCACAACAUUUUGCUUUAGCAAUUCCCACAGUGGCUACAAAGUGGAAAAAUGUAUUUCCACAAAAACUAGAGUAUAAAUGAGCAGGUCUAAUUUUGUGUCAAAAACAAAAGCAAGUGUGGACUAAGGGAAUUCUGUUGUAUUGUAUGGAGCAUCUUGUUCAGCAAGUUUCAGAGGUAUGUUCCGUAAUGCCUUGUAAACUGGACUGGUGUCAACUGAAGCCCAAUGGCUGGGCAUUUUGGAGUAUAAAAGACGACGAUGAGUUGCAGUACCAGCAAACAAUCUGUGAGUCAGUUGUGAAUAUCAAACUAUUUUUGCUUCUUUUGUUUUUGUUUUGAAUCUUAUCUUCUUGAUCCAGCUGCUACUGAUUCUGUUGUUUCCACAUCUGCAAUGGUGAAAUUGAGGAUCAAAUGUCUUAUGGCUAAAAUAUUGAUUCCAUAUAUUUCUCUUGUUCAAUUCUGGUUAACCCAUCCAGGUCAAUGGAUCGACUUUCCUGUCAACUGCGGAUCAACUAUUUGUUUUCAAUGAGGAAAUUGAUAAGAGACUUUCUUCAUACAGGAGGCUCUGUCUCGAUACUUGGAUUCCCAUUGAUUACUACAAGGAGGCUCUGUCUCGAUACUUGGAUUCCCAUUGAUUACUACAAGGAGGCUCUACUUGCCCCCCUGUGCGAGUUUUCAGAAGAUGGUUGCCAGAAUAUAACCCCGACGUCCAAAGGCAGAGUUUCCACUGCUUCAAACUGCAAUUAGCUUGGGAUUACAUUCUUAUUAUGCAUUUCCACUUCUCGAACUCCCUGAUCAGCGGUGCCUUGGUGUAUUUGAGAUUGUAUCUACAAAACCAUCUCUCCGUCUUCCCAAUCUUAUUAAGCCGUUGGACGAUGAUAGAAUUGACAAUAUAGAGGAAGGGUUAUAUGAGAUCCUUCAAAGACAUAGUUGUAUUCCCUUUGCACAAAUUUGGAUUCCUUUUUCUCCAUCUGCCUCUUUGAAAGUGUUGUAUCGUGCUGCUGCUGUCAAGGAUUAUUCGAGUUUAAUGUAUGAUGAGUUUGAAUAUGCUUCUGAGGUCUGCUUUAUUGCAAGCGGUGAGGCAUUGGUGGGGAGGGCAUUUGCAUCCCAAGGUUCAUGCUUUUGCAAAGAUGUUACUCUAGUAAGCAUCAAAGAGUACCCUUUGGUGUCUAGUGCACGAAAUGCUAGAUUCACUCAGAGUUUUGCUAUUUGUUUGCAAAGUAAAUGCACCAACAAUUUUAUUUGCGUAGUUGAGUGCUUUCUGCCACCCAAUGAAAUGGUUGUUAGAGAUACAAAGACUUUCUUAAACAUGCUUUUAUACACAAUGAAAGAGCAACUUCCCGGUUUCAUAGUUGCUUCUGGAAAUGAACUAGGGCAGAGGAUGAUCGUUGAAGUUGUUAAAGUUACCCCAAGUGAUGAACUUGACUCCUUUGAAAUUGGCCAACCUCUGUCAAGUGUUCAACCAGUUCAGGAUGGAGGAGAAACAACAGAAAUGGAUUCUUUCUGUCAACAGUCAAAUUUACAGAACGGGGAGAAUAAUGGUGCUAAUGCACUGCUGGUUUCUUCCUGCUUAUUACACAAGAGUGACUCACUCAACUGUGAAGAGACAGUGGAAGUUCAUCCGUUACUUCCUCAUCCAAUAGAGGAAGCCGUGACAAACAGAGGAAUAGGUAACGUGGAUGUAGUAGCACAUGAUGACCAUAUUGAAGAUACAAGUGAAAUGACGCAACUUGAUUCACACUCUGAGCAACCUAAUUUAGAAAUUAAUUCUGCGGCAAAUGCAAGGACUAACAAUGACAAUAUCCAUUUGACAUAAGAACAUCGCAAUACAAAGGAUAGGAAAAGAUCAUGGGAUUACUCGCAAGAUUCUGGAGCAGCAUUUUGGCUUGACUCUUCAAGAUGCUGUCAAAAAUCUACAUGUUAGUCGAGCAACACUGAAACGAAUAUGUAGAGAAUAUGAAAUCACUAGAUUAGUGGUUGCCCCAGAAGCUGAAACAUGAAGGAUUUUCUGUAAGUUUUGUGAUGGUUCAUCUUCAUUGCAGAACAUUAGUGAUGUUAUCUUUUGGUUACAUGGUGUUUGUCUCUUCCCUGAGGUGUUGUUAACAGCAAAGGUAAAAUAGACACAAAAGAAUAAAUUAUCUCUUAAUUUUUCAAACUAAACAAGUAUUGUUGGAUAACUAUUUUUAGUAUAGUAAAUAAGUAAAAAUGAAAGGAGAUAAUAUGUGUUGUUUAAAUUAGUUGACUUGUUGUGUACAAAACUUGUAUUAAAGUGAAUUUUUCUUUUUGAAAAGAGUUCAUCACUGUCAUAUAAA
Molecule: RNA transcript, 7704 nt
Organism: Solanum pennellii
Lineage: Eukaryota; Viridiplantae; Streptophyta; Magnoliopsida; Solanales; Solanaceae
Gene name: protein NLP6-like
Exons: 4
Source: RefSeq, a predicted model, not a curated record